GACGCACAACGCCUCGUGGCAGCCAAUGAAAAGGAGGACCAGGCCGAGGGGGUGGGACCCGAGAGGCCUAGGGCCAAUCAGAGGUCAGAGUGGCUAGCCAAUCGGCGGUGGCGUGAGGACGCCUCUUGGGAAGGUGGACCAAUAAGAUCAGGGAAUGUGGAAAGGGCGGUGCGCCGCAGUUGAGCGGACCAAUGAAAGCCGGUCGCGUGGAACUAGAGCCCGCGGACCCUGGCCAAUGCGGAAGGCUCACGUGGGGAGGAAAACACGAGCGGAAGGAGCCAAUAGGAAGUAGUGAGUGCUUGGGUGGGCGUCGCCCCAGGGCAGGCGCUCUGGCAAGCCGGAGGCCCAUUGGAAGCCCGGGUGAGAGGAAUGUUGGGAGCGGCGCCAGGAUUUAACCUGCACAGUCUAGGCUUGGAGACUCCUUUCUGGGAGGGCCCCCAAGUCAAGAGCCAUCCUCGAGCUGCAGGAGGGGGCCCAGAAGAAAUGGAAACGGGGUCAAAUAGGCAGUGAUGGCGGGAGCCCCGCCUCCCUGCCCUCCCUCUGCAGCCCCGCUGAGUCAGAGACUUGGCAAUCCCCCCCAGCGCUAGGCGCUUGGGGGGCUGGGAUUGGCCUCCGGGAAGAAGGUGCUGGUCGCCGCUCCCGCCCUCCCUCCUUUCUUUGCGGCUCCUGCUCUUGCCUCUGAGCUCCAGCUCUUCUUUUCUCGCCUUUUGUCUGCGAGCAUCUCCGAGGCCAGGGUUUGGGGGAGACUCUACCUACUGAGCCUUCCUGCCGCCCCUCCCCCUUCCCCUCCCUUUUAGUGAUCUGUGCACCCGGCCUGCCCCCUUGUCUACCCAGAGUAACCCUUGCUGAAGCUCGUGGGCAGGCACCCAGCGAGGGUUCCCAGUGGGUGAGCAGCAGGAAGCUGUGAAUCCUGGGCCUGGGCAGUCAGAGCUCUUUGGAAGCUGGGGUUGGGCCAGGGACAAGAAGUCCCGCCAGAAGCCCUGGCUUUCUGCUCAGCUGAGUUUGGGGAUGAGUGAAGAGCUGGCUUUCCUUUCUUGCCUUCUGGAGAGAGUUUACUUCCAGUGCGCUGCAGCAAUAUGUGUGCUUCGGGAUAUUGUCCUCAAAUAGAAACUCUUGAAAGUCAUUUUGACUUGAGCCAGAAUGUUUUAAACCGGCCACCACCACAUUAUUUAUACUUCUCAUAUUUUCGUCAAGCCAUUCCUUUGAAAUCCUUAGACCUCCUCAUUGGACUGUGAGCUCCUCGAAGGCAGCAGGGACUGCGUGGCCCGCCAGUGCUUUGUGCUCUGCCUGUGAUCAUGACUAAAGUGCACUGACUAACUAACGGCUGGAGAGGGGCGAGAAGAGAGAGCAGCAGCAGCAACAAAGGGGGCAGUUGGCAGAAGAGGGCUCAGGGGUGCUGAAGGCAUCUGGGACCUCCGUGAGGAUGGGUGCAUCUGAGCAAGUGACCUCUGCUGCAGUGUGGUCUAGAAGGGCCUCCGUGCAGUAACUUGAGGGAGCUCAAAGUAAAGGAAUGAAACCUGGAUACAUGGACAAGGGAGUCACUGGCCAAAAAGAAAAGAAACAGCAGGGAGGAAGGGAUGACCCUGAACCCAGAGAAGACUUGGAAGAAACGUGAGCGAAGGGAAAGCUCUCUAGGCCCAGAGUCGGCUUCUGGCCUCUGGGAGAAGAUGCUAAAAGGAAGGGAGGAGGAGGAGGAGGAAAAUCAAGAAGAAAGGUCUUCAAGAGAGGGUGGAUGGCCAGGGACCUCAGCAGCCUUGAGUUCAGCCAAAUGAGAGGGAUCCAACAAAGUGGUCAUCCACCCUCUGCUAGAAAACUGCUGGGGAGGAGUGGCCUUGCCCCAAGCGCCCCCCCCUUCUGGCCUAAAUUAAUUAAUUGGACACUGCAGCUUCCCCUUAGUUCCCCUGGCUCUGCCCACUGGACUUUAGCAGCAUGCCUUCCUUCAACCAUCUCACCCUUCCUCCCUUCUCCCAUUGGUGAGUUCCUCCAGCAGCUGCCAUUCAGCUCAGGGUAGCCAUCCCUCCACCUCCCCCCUUUCUGGACUUUCAGAGCCUCCCUCCUCUGCUCCUGUGCAGUGAACCUUUCAUGACCUCAUGGAAUAGAGUUCCUCUUCCCAGGUGUUUGUGCCAUACCAUUCCUGCGGAGUACGACAAAACAUAGUAAUCUCCCUUCAAGGCUGCAUGAACAGUUCCAAGAUCUCCUGGGAACGGGUUAACUCCCCUGUUCACACUCUGGGGAGGAUAGAGUGUGCCUCUUGAGAAGAGCUUUCAAUCUGAUGUGCUGCUUACAAUAAACGUUCAUUAUUCCUCUUUGAUAAUGUUCCAGUCUUGCUUUCUUGGGACUCCAUAGCUGUUCUCCGACAGCUCUAAGCUGUCCCCUAUUGCGACUCUGUGGACACCAUUUCCCCCCGGUUCUUUUAUUGGAACCCUCCCUUCGGUUCUCUUUGGAGAAUCUCCGACUUGUCCAGUUCUUUCGAGAACCCCCGACGCUGUGUCCUAGUCAUGCAGAGUUUCGACACUACGGAGAUCCCCUCGGUGGGUGAUGGGCUUAGAGCCUAGGAAGAGAGGUUGGAGAAACUGGACCUGUUUAGCCUCAGUCUCCAGAGCAUGAUGGCUGUCGGGAGGAAGAGAGAUUUGGCUUGUUUGGCUGAUGAUGACUUGGAGGUGUGCAGAGAAGAGGCAGCUGGAACAGAGGGCCUCUCUUUUCCCACUCAUCAGUGCUCGGUACAUAGUAGGGAUGAUGCCAAUGCUUGUUCCCUUCCCUACUUAGUCAGAUACCCAAACCACCAUAACUUGCCGCCCUUUGACAGAGGGAUGAAGGCUGCCAAGAAAAGGGGUGACCCACCCCCAGCAAUGCACCCAAGGGAACAUGGAACCGGUCAUUGAUUAGUGUGGGGCCACCUUUCCGGUAAGACAUAAGGGUGGGCCACUUAGACUCACAAAGAUGAGAAAACGCCCUUGGAUCUUUAGACACAGCCUGCAUCCUUGGGCGGGGCCCCUGGACCGGAGGCACGGGGAUUCGCUUUCCCAGCCACACAGGACUACAGUCAAACAAUGCCCAGUUGCCAUAGUCGCUGCCCAUUUUGGUGCCUGGGCAGAUAGAGCAAAAUGCCCCCCAUGAGCACCCUCCUCCCCUUCCUCAGCCACAUAGAGAUGGUCAGACCCUUAGUCUUGCCCACUUUACCCACAAAAGUCCCGCCUGAUUGGCCUUUCACCUCUCUUUGCCUUCCCUUACAUAACCCAAACUCUUCAUCUAUACCUCUAGAUCUGCAUCAUCUACAUAGGGGAGCUCCUGGCUUAAAAUUGUAGCUUGUGGCUCACUCUGAUUACCCGACCACCCUCGUGAGCUCUGAGCCAGCAGGUUUGGGUAGGAACUAGACUGGGAAGGGGAACGUGGAAAUCUAGUACAAAGUGUCCCCAGAUCACAGGAGCAGCAUUUACAAAGGAUGUCACAUGGUAAGCCAAAUUCCUAGCCUGCUAAUUAACCCCGAGGCGGACUUGUUGGGAUUUCCAGGCCUUUGAUGUUGAAAUUCCAGAAUCAGUCCAGACCUUCCGGAGCCCAGAGCAGCAGAACAUCCAGAGGGGCUCAGAGCUUUGGGAUGUUGGCUUUGACAGUUUACCAACAACUCGCAGAUGAUGUGGAUGUGGUGAUGAGCUAAUUCCAAGGAGCCACGGCCCUCCCAGACCUAUAAACUCCUCGAACUCCUGACUCCCUUUAGAGGGUCCAGGCUGUGGCAUCCUCCCCCCCGACUCUGCUGAUAGGUGGCUAUGGGAGUGAUGCUCUCUCCUUGUCCCACUCCCCAUCGCCUUCCAUAAUCCCCGUCUCCACUCCCCAUCCCGUUACCCAUCCUAUGCAUCCCUCUGCACUUUCUGCCACUUUUCUCUGUGCCUUUGUGAUUGCUGCCCUGUUUCCCAUGAGCAAUUAUGGCUUUCUUGGCAAAGUACCCAAAGAACUGGGCUUUCCUGACCCCAUUUCAUCAUUUGAGAGUUUCAUAAAGUCAUUAUCAAUCUACCUCCAGUCUCUCCCUCCCAGGCAGCAGCCACUCUCCUCUUCUCCCCAUUGGGGCCCCUUGGGGAGCCAGUCCAGAUCUACAGUCUUGGAUCUCUCACCCCCUUCUUCCAUUGCCAGUUGUGCCUAGCCAGGUCUCAGCCUCGGAUCCCUCCCAGUGUUGUCCCUUGGCUCUUCUACACCUGAGCCGCUGGACAAAUCUGGAGGAAGUCAUGUCCCGUUUCGACUGGAUCGACUCCAAAGUUCUGCUGUACAACUGCCAUUCGCUCCUCUCCUCUACCAGACUGCGCCCUCUCUCAUGCUUCCUCUAGCACUUAUUCUCCAUCCCUGCCUGCUGACUCCUUCCCUAAGGCUUCCAAACGUGGUUACUGUGGAUUCCUUUCUUCUCUGCGGUGUUGUAAAGAUGUUGGGCAGAGGCAGAAUGUGCCGUUGUAGAGUCCUACAUGGUGCCAGGCACGUGCCAGGUGCUGGACAAAUACUUCACUUGGUUCUUCCUUAGUCUCUGCUAAUCAGCACAUCUGCCUGAAUUCCUGUGACUUUGAGCAAGCUGUAUGGAGACAUUUUAAACAUCCCCAUCCAGAGACCGCUAGAUCUCUUCCUUGUAAUAAUCAAGCAAAAGAGACCAACCUGCUGCCUGCAGUAAAGAAGGUUUGCCUCACAUGCCCAAUGUGGAAAUAUUUGUGGCACUUCCUGUGGACAAAGGAUGCUAUACCGCUCGCUUGUUUCUGGACAAGGAAGGCGUUGGAGGGAGAAAAAAGGGAACUCCAAAUCAUAGAAAGUCAUGGCAAAAAGAAAUCACCAAUUGAACAGAUGUCCACGUCAUUCCUCAGCCAUGGACCACCACAUCUUUUGUCAAGAGAAGCAUGUGCCCGUGGUUGAAUCCUCUUCGGGACAUCAGAGGCUGCCUGGUCCAAGCCCCUCUUUUUGCAGAUGUGGAAAUUGAGGCCCAGGAAGGUUAGCUACUUUGAUUUGAAACUAGAUGCUCAGACUUCAAAAUCACUACACCCUGCUGCCUCCCGUGAGAGACCAGAGGUCAUACGUGUGAAAAUGUAAAUUCAUUCCUAGGGCCUCUACUUCAUAAGUUUCUCUUCAAUAUAAAUGGUUCCUCUGUGUCCAAAGGGCUCUAAAACAAUGCCUACCUUUGAUCCAGUAAUACCCCUGCUGGGCCCGUACCCCAAAGAGAUCAAAAGGGGUGUCCAUCUACUUGUACACAAAUCUCUCUAGCUACACUCUUUGUGGUGGCAAAGAGCUGGAAACUAAAGGGGUGUCCCCCACCUGGAGAAUGGCUGAACACAUUGGGGUGCAGGCUGUCACUGGAAUGCUACUGUGCUCAAAGGAAUGACGAACUGCCCGAUUUCUCUAAGAACUGGAAAGACCUCCCUGACUGAUGCAGAGUGAGAGGAGCAGAACCAGGAGAACAAGGUACAGAGACUGAUACAUUGUAGCAUAAUCAAAUGUAACUGACUUCUCCUUCAUCGCCUUAGGGGAAAUGCGAUGAUCCUGAACAACCAGGAGGGAUCUACGGAGAAAGAAUACUAUCGACAUUCAGAGAAAAACUGUGGGAGCAGAAACACAGCAGAAAAGCAACUGCUUGAUUGCAUGGUUGGAGGGGGAUAUGGAGGGGGGGGAGAUGUAGACUCUGAAUGAACAUCCUAGUUCAAACACCAACAACAUGGAAAGAGGUUCUGAUCAAGGCCACAAGUAAUACCCAGUGGAAUUGUUUGUUGGCCACCCGAGGGGGAUGGGAGGAGGGGAGGGAAAGAACAUGAAUCAUGGAACCAUGGGAAAAUAUUCUAAAUUAAUAAAACUUUUUAAAAA
This is a long non-coding RNA of Monodelphis domestica (gray short-tailed opossum), 5823 nucleotides long. RefSeq lists it as uncharacterized. Lineage: Eukaryota; Metazoa; Chordata; Mammalia; Didelphimorphia; Didelphidae. The record is from RefSeq and is a predicted model, not a curated record.